AUUUAAAGAGUGCGUAAUAGCUCACUGGUCGAGUGACUCUGCGCCGAAAAUGUAACGGGGCUAAACACACCACCGAAGCUAUGGCUUGAUGCUUUGCAUCAGGGGUAGGGGAGCGUUGUAUGUAGGUAGAAGGUGUACCGUAAGGAGCGCUGGACAGCAUACAAGUGAGAAUGCCGGUAUGAGUAACGAAAAGAUCAGUGAGAAUCUGAUCCGCCGAAAGCCUAAGGG
This 228-nucleotide ribosomal RNA is filed under the name Paenibacillus timonensis. Its description in RNAcentral is "partial 23S ribosomal RNA". It matches the Rfam family "Bacterial large subunit ribosomal RNA", at positions 1121 to 1351 of the family's 2925-position model. Lineage: Bacteria; Bacillati; Bacillota; Bacilli; Caryophanales; Paenibacillaceae. The record is from RNAcentral.